ACUCAAAUGAAUUGACGGGGGCCCGCACAAGCAGCGGAGCGUGUGGUUUAAUUCGAUGCAACGCGCAGAACCUUACCUGGGCUUGACAUGGCAGUGCAAGCCGUGGAAACACGGCCCUCUUCGGACGCUGUCACAGAUGUUGCAUGGCUGUCGUCAGCUCGUGUCGUGAGAUGUUGGGUUAAGUCCCGCAACGAGCGCAACCCUCGUGGCUAGUUGAACCGCUCUAGCCAGACUGCCUACUAAAUAGGAGGAAGGUGGGGAUGACGUCAAGUCCGCAUGGCUCUUACGUCCAGGGCUACACACACGCUACAAUGGCCGGUACAGAGCGCUGCGAACUCGCGAGAGUAAGCCAAUCGCCAAAACCGGUCUCAGUUCGGAUUGCAGGCUGCAACCCGCCUGCAUGAAGUCGGAGUUGCUAGUAACCGCAUGUCAGCACAGUGCGGUGAAUAUGUUCCCGGGCCUUGUACACACCGCCCGU
This 478-nucleotide ribosomal RNA is filed under the name uncultured bacterium. Its description in RNAcentral is "partial 16S ribosomal RNA". It matches the Rfam family "Bacterial small subunit ribosomal RNA", at positions 899 to 1397 of the family's 1533-position model. The record is from RNAcentral.